CACCCUAUGGCCACGGCGCGGGGUCACGCUGCGGCCGGGCGCAGCUCCAGGCCUCUCCUCCGUCUCCUCCUCUGAGUCAUCCCGGCUGUGCUCCCUGGGGUGCCCCACAGCUGCGGACCCCCUCCCGCCCCGUGGACUCCUCGUUUGACCCCGUGGCAGCGCCCCCAUCCCCACGGCACCCCCUCCUCGUGGCCCCGUGGUUGGGGGCUGUUUCCCCCCCCCCUCCCCACCGCUCCCCAACGCCCCCCAAACGCCGGAGGUUGGCGGGGGGUCACCGUGGAGGACGGCCCCACUGUGCCGCUAUGGGGCACGGAGCUAUCUGGAGGCUCUGCUGGCCGACCUGCGCUCCUUUCUGCUCCUCCCUCGACCGGGAGAGCCUCAGCGCCGCAGCCCGAGCCAAGAAGCAGUCGGUGGGAGAGCUGCUGCAACGGCUGCAGGGCCCCGGCGGGUGAGCGCAACGGGGAGCAGGCGGUGCCGGGGGGGCACGGAGGGGGGCUGUGACUCAGAUCCCCCCCCCCUCACCCCGCAGCAGCAGCAGAGGAUGCAGAGUACAUGAUGAUGCGCUGCCUCUCGCCCUCCUCGGGGACCCCGCAGGGCCGGGAUGG
Molecule: long non-coding RNA, 605 nt
Filed under: Gallus gallus (chicken)
Lineage: Eukaryota; Metazoa; Chordata; Aves; Galliformes; Phasianidae
Description: lncRNA (ENSGALG00010020825.1)
Source: RNAcentral